AAAUAUUAGGGGUAACAUGGUAAAUAUGCAAAUGAUUUAGGUUCAGUUAAUCAAUCAUAGUCUUGUUGGGGAUGCACCAAAAAAUAGCUCCCUUUCUCUCUAUGUGAAACGACGGCCAACAACAGCAUCGCCAGGCCGCCGCUACUCCGAUGCUCUUGUUGUAGCCGUCAAUCUGGAAGAUGUUGGACUUGAAGGAGUCGCUACUCCGUUGUUAAUCCCAACGAAGGAUAACCAUUACUUGAAUCCCACAAAUUCACUCUCAGGGUAAAUCAAAUAAAAUGAAUCAACAAAUCGUCAUUUUUCACUUCAUUAAGAUAGAAAUCGUCAAUAACGAUGUAUGUCUUGAGUUUUAUCAUGCAUUUGAUCUGUUCUAUAGAGAAUUCUGAUGUUGCAGAGUUUUGAACUUUGAUUAAUUACAGGCAGAGAUGUCGAUUUUCGUUUCUAGGUUUUGCGAUUUCAUGUUUCUUUGUUCAAUUUUCAUGAAUUUUUAAUGAAGUUAAGUACGAUCUGAUUGAAAUUUUUGAAACUCAUGUGACUUUGGUGUACGGGAACUCCUAUCACUACGCCGAUAAUGUAUAGUCGGACAAUUUGUGUUUCUGGCUACUGAGGCAGAGAAUUACAUGGCAUGCUUUUUGGCCAUUGAUCAACAUCAUGCCAUUAAAAAUCUUAUUGAGAUCAAGUGACUUUGUACUCAAAGUGUCGGGAUUUCUGGAGUGCACGCAAGUUGCUUGAUGAAAGUACUGAACAAGAUUUAGUUGCUUGGUUUGCUUUACUAUCAGGGUAUACCAAGAAUGGUCUCAGUCAAGAAGCUCUUUUGGCUUUUACAGAGAUGCACACAUUAAGUAUUAGGUGUAAUGAGUUCACAUUCCCUGGUAUCCUUAAAGUUUGCUCCAUGAAGAAGGAUAUCCUUAGAGGGAAACAAAUACAUGGAAUUGUGGUGGUGACUGGUUUGAAAAUGAUGUUUAUGUUGCAAAUAUUACGCCCCAUUGGUGUGUUCUCAAAUGAUUUUACUCUUCUGUUAAAGCUAUGAAGAUUUGAACAACCACCUCUUGAGCAUAUGAUUGGGUCGAGGUCUCUUCUGUGGAUUUGCCAGAUCAGCUAUCCGAGAUAAAGCACACAAAGUGUUUUAGGGAGGCAAUGUUGGCCAUUUGCAUAAGCUACUGAGUGUGGAAUCAAGUUUACAUGUUUUGUUACUUUAUUUAUCACCAUUUUUUUUACAAUCUACAUUGGUACUUUUGUGGAGCAGAAUUAAUUUAUUUUAAUUUAAUACUCUUUGGAGCAAAGUUUAUGUGCUUGUUUCAAUUUUGUUGGGUUCUUUAUGUUGGAGAUCAUCUAUAUGGUGAUAUUUUACGCUAAAAAAAGCCCAAGGUAUUACUCUCUAUGCAAGAAAUGACAAUGUACUUUCAUUGAUUUGUUUAUUAUAGCAUCCUACUUUUUAAACCAUAGUUUUAUUAAUGAAUUAGAAACUGGACAUACAUUCCUAUAUUUUGGUAGAGUUUUUAACAAUGAUGUAAUAGAAGGAAAUGUAAGUACGUUGCUAUUUCUUGUAUUUCGCCUAAUUUUUAUUUCAAGGGCUUGUAAUAUAAUUACAUGGAUCAGGUUGGAGGACAAUGCUUGUUGUUCCUGAAAUUGAAAAAAAGGAAGUUAAAUUUCUUUGGUGUAUAGAAGACACUGAUUAGGUAAUUUUGAAAGAUAAUUUUAUUAAGUCUAUUUUUAUUUUCAAAUCAGUAACAUAUAUCAGCAUCUUAUAUUGCUUAUAAAUGAACAAGAUCAAAUUGAAAAUCUCCAUCAUUUAAAAUGGUCCCUCCGUUAAGAAUUACCUCUCUCUCUCUCUCUCUCUCUCUCUCUC
Molecule: long non-coding RNA, 1849 nt
Organism: Lactuca sativa (garden lettuce)
Lineage: Eukaryota; Viridiplantae; Streptophyta; Magnoliopsida; Asterales; Asteraceae
Source: RefSeq, a predicted model, not a curated record